Molecule: ribosomal RNA, 114 nt
Filed under: bacterium
Lineage: Bacteria
Source: RNAcentral
UCUGGUGUCUAUACUGCAGGGGAAACACCCGUUCCCAUUCCGAAUACGGAAGUUAAGCCCUGCAGGCCGAUGAUACUGAUGCCUUGUGCAUCGGGAAAGUAGGUAUCGCCAGAA